This 994-nucleotide long non-coding RNA is filed under the name Homo sapiens (human). RNAcentral describes it as "HSALNT0223144". The record is from RNAcentral. Lineage: Eukaryota; Metazoa; Chordata; Mammalia; Primates; Hominidae.
GACCCACUCUUUUUUCACCUCCGGUCGUACCUACUGGGUGUGCCCAGAUGGUGUCCCUUCCCUCCCAGUCCGGGAUCCUAUUCUGAAACCCUCUCCCCGCAUCCCCACGCCCCCCACAGGACCCAUGGGGAGUGAGUGGCAGGAAACCGCAACCCCCAUCAACACCAGCUUGGGCACUGAGGCGCGAAUCCACGAGCUGCGGGUCCUCCGCGUUCCGAGUGCAGGAGGGGGCCAGACCUUUGUCAGGGCUCAGGACAAACUGUGGGUCGAGAGGCAUGGACUGAAUCAGCUCCAGAAUCUGGGCUAGGUGCGGCCUGUUUUGCAAAAGCGUGAGGCUUUGCACUCUUCGGGCAGGCUGUGAGGGCCAAGGGGAGGAAGUCUUCUCCCUUUGCUCCCAAAUAACCUAAACAUCACGACCUAAAGUCCCCUCGGUGUUUCCACUAAGGGAGUACAAACACUUCACUAUUACCCUUGUAGCUCUUCUCUGUACAUUUUCCUUCCAGCUUUUUCCCACUAUUUUACCAUCUGCACACCUCAGCCAAACUGUACAAUUCAGGAUUCUAGAACGUGCCAUGCAUUUUAUUAUCUCUAAGUUUUUGCCCAUGCCAUGGCUUCUUCCUUGAAUGCCCCUUUCCUCAUCGGGUUAAUCAAAUCUUGCCCAUUCACGAAAGCCCAUCUUUAUGCUCUCUCUUUUGUGAAAUUCAGUUUCCUAAUAAACUGUGAUUAUUUUUCUCUGAAUUGACAGGAUUCUUGUCCGGUCCUGCUCUUGUUCAAGUCUUCGCUCUGCUAUAAACUGAACUCCUGGAGGGCAGUGAUCGUUUAUCCACUUGUCCUCCCUUCCUAAGGCUUAGCCAGGGGAAAUCUGGUCCCAGAGACACUUGGAAGAAAGAUGAUGUGAAAAGAGGCAGGGAGAACACGGCCAUCUGCAAGCCAAGGAGAGAGGCCUGGAACAAGAGCCUUCCCUCACAGCCCUCAGAAGGAAUCAAUCCUGCUG